CUAGUAUUAUUUUGUCAGAGAGAGACUUCCGCCCAAGGCUUUACCGCGUGACUGUGUUUAACCAAUAAAACGUAGCCCUUGCCGCGCAGUCUCGCCACGUGAUACGCAAUCUCAGCGGCGGGACGGUUUAGUUUAGCGGCUAGUGUUGUCGAUAUCCACCGUCUUCGAUAGCAAACAAUAGUAGAAUCAACAGUUGGCGAUGCAGACGAGGACGAGGAGACACACCCCUGGACUCAUACUGAAAGCAUGUUUAGUUUAUAAACAGUGCGAAACAGCAGUUACGUCAUGCGGCGUCUUUUGUGUCUCCCAAAACAAACGGAUAUUUCAGCAUUCAAAAAGUCAUCGUCUAACCUGAGGAAAUAUGUUGCAGGUUGCUGACAGAUGCUAAAUCUUGCAUCAAUCCAUGGACCUAUCGUCUGAUGCCACACCCUUCCCCUCCUCGUCACCAUCGACCUCCCCACAACGAUUCUCCUCUUGGAUGUAGGGCUGAAGUGUGACCUCCUCCCACCCCCACAUCCUCUGCCCCACCAUCAUGUAGCCACUGCAGCAAAGCUAUCUGCUGCUGAUGCCGUGGAGCUGAUAACGGCUUCUUUCAUCUAUCACUUUGCAGCACAAAAGGGGCCGAGGCAUUGAUCGAACCCCAGCGGGCUGACGGCCGCUCAACAGGCGGCUUUUUACACCUGCAACACAAGAGACACAGGGUUUGACAGGGAGGACCUGGAUUUAACUCCAGCUCCUGAUACGAUGCCCAGACUGACGGCCUGUUUAAGCUGUGACAAAGAGAAAACAGCGAACAAACGCUGUUUCUUAAGGCAAGGUCUGUUGGAGCUGGUGACAUCAUACAUUUACCUUCCAAUGCCAUCCUCUUAUCCAUAGUGCAUAAAAAAAACAAUGAUGUCACUCAGUGUGUCCCGUUCAUCUUAGAGUUGAACUGUAGGGGCAUCACUACCAUUUACUGGGCUGGAGUGUGGGCAUCAGUGUGUGCCAAACAAUUCAGUGUGUUACCAUGAUGCAAAGUACAGGGAUGGUCCAUGUCAGAAGAAAAAGAAAGAAAAAGAGCCAACGUCUUCAAAGAAGAAAGCUGCAAUUAACAGGGAAUUCCAGGAGUUCAACUUCAAAUAUGGAUUUAUUACGACAGGUUCUUCCUACGCACCGAGCCUGUGCUGCAUAAUACACGGCUAGCGGCUCUGUAAUGAGGCGAUGAAGCCUUCAAAACUGCUUCGCCACUUGAAGAACAAGCGUUCUGCCUUAAAAGACAAAGACGAUCCUACGAAGACGCUGCUAAUACAGUUGCAUACACAGUGAUGUAACGUUUAUUAUUAUAUUUAGAAAAUAACCAUUCUUAUGCCAGUUCUAUCCUUUUACUUUGUUGUAUUUAUCUGCAAUACCUUAAAGACCGAUCCGUGAAAAAACUUGUCAGAGAAGUCCGUGGCGCAAAAAAAAAAAGGUUGAGGCUGUUCUACAGCACUCUCAGAUCAACAACAAUCUAAAAAGACUGAAAAUGCAGCACUGGGCUGAACAGCAGGGGGCGGUGAUUGCAAUCAGUGCCGAACAAGAACAGGUGAAGAGGUGAAUUGCAGCCAACAGCAAAACUGGAGCGGCUACACCCAACUGUGACACAAAAACACGUGUACACAGAGGGUGCUACAAACAAACGUCUUUGACCGUGUUCAUGAGGAAGUAAAUCUGGACUGUGGGACAUGGAGUGGUCUGGCGGGUAGUUGGCUGCAGCUCUUUCAUUGGAUGACCCUUGGUGAUGUAACUCAACCAGGGACCUGAUUAAG
This is a long non-coding RNA of Cynoglossus semilaevis (tongue sole), 1784 nucleotides long. RefSeq lists it as uncharacterized. The transcript is spliced from 3 exons. Lineage: Eukaryota; Metazoa; Chordata; Actinopteri; Pleuronectiformes; Cynoglossidae. The record is from RefSeq and is a predicted model, not a curated record.